This 289-nucleotide unclassified non-coding RNA is filed under the name uncultured fungus. RNAcentral's name for it is "partial contains 5.8S rRNA, ITS2 and 28S rRNA". It matches the Rfam family "Eukaryotic large subunit ribosomal RNA", at positions 668 to 961 of the family's 3401-position model. Lineage: Eukaryota; Fungi. The record is from RNAcentral.
AAGGAGUCUAACAUGUCUGCGAGUAUUUGGGUGUCAAACCCGUGCGCGCAAUGAAAGUGAACGUAGGAGCCACCCGCAAGCUGCACCAUCGACCGAUCUGGAUCUUCUGUGAUGGAUUUGAGUAAGAGCAAAUAUGUUGGGACCCGAAAGAUGGUGAACUAUGCCUGAAUAGGGCGAAGCCAGAGGAAACUCUGGUGGAGGCUCGUAGCGGUUCUGACGUGCAAAUCGAUCGUCAAAUUUGGGUAUAGGGGCGAAAGACUAAUCGAACCAUCUAGUAGCUGGUUCCUGC